AGACAGGAAGCAUGAAGUCAGGCUCAUCAGUGUCAGAGCAGGGGAGACCAGCACAGACACCUUACAAGCAGAAUGACCUUCUGUAGCUACGGAGAAAGGCUUCAGGCAAAGAGAUGCAGCUCUGGGCCCCAGAGUCCACUGGAGCGCACUGAAGCUGGAGCACAUUGAAGUGGAAGAUGGGGCUGCAGGCAGAGACUGGGCAGCCUCCGCUCCAAGGAGGCUGGAGAGCCAGAGAGCAGAUUCCAUAAGAAGAAUAACUCCCACUCCUCAUGCAUGAGACCCUCUGCUAAAUGCUUCCCACGCACCACCUCCAGAAACCCUCCCAAACCAGGACCCCAGCAGUAUUACAGAUAAGAAAACGGAGGAUCCCAGAGAUUUGACAACCUGCCCACAGCAAUGACCAAACCAGACUUGGUGCUAGGUCUGCAUCUCCCCAAAGCCAGCGUGUUCGUGCGCUCUGCUGCCGCUGCUACCCACUGUCCCGCACAUGAUGUGAACUGCCAGGCUGACCGGGAGUUCUGUCUCCUGGGUGGGCUGUUUGCCAACACCAGGGUGGCUGGCCCCUGCCUGUGUCUGGUGCUGCAGUGUUGACUCUCUUCGUGUGAUGUUGAGCAGGUGGAGCUGGUUGUGCUGAGCCUGAGAAAACAUCCAGUGUGCCAAA
Molecule: long non-coding RNA, 661 nt
Organism: Piliocolobus tephrosceles (Ugandan red Colobus)
Lineage: Eukaryota; Metazoa; Chordata; Mammalia; Primates; Cercopithecidae
Exons: 3
Source: RefSeq, a predicted model, not a curated record